RNAcentral lists this ribosomal RNA (253 nucleotides) under uncultured bacterium. RNAcentral describes it as "partial 16S ribosomal RNA". It matches the Rfam family "Bacterial small subunit ribosomal RNA", at positions 524 to 776 of the family's 1533-position model. The record is from RNAcentral.
UACGUAGGGAGCAAGCGUUGUCCGGAAUCAUUGGGCUUGAAGCGCGCGUAGGUGGCUUCGUAAGUCCGUUGUGAAAGUCAAAGGCUCAACCUUUGAAAGCCGAUGGAUACUGUGAAGCUAGAGUACGGAAGAGGCGAGUGGAAUUCCUGGUGUAGCGGUGGAAUGCGUAGAUAUCAAGAGGAACACCGGUGGCGAAGGCGGCCUUCUGGACAGUGACUGACGCUGAGACGCGAAAGCGUGGGGAGCAAACAGG